AGGAGAACUCCCCUCCCCAAAGGGUGAC
RNAcentral lists this non-coding RNA (28 nucleotides) under Homo sapiens (human). Lineage: Eukaryota; Metazoa; Chordata; Mammalia; Primates; Hominidae. The record is from RNAcentral.